CAUGCAAGUCGAACGGAGCUUUAUUCCGGAAGUUUUCGGAUGGAAGGGAUAAAGCUUAGUGGCGGACGGGUGAGUAACACGUGAGCAACCUGCCCUUUGGAGGGGAAUAACGUCUGGAAACGGACGCUAAUACCGCAUAAUGUGGGAGAGGGACAUCCCUUUUCCACCAAAGAUUUUAUCGCCAAAGGAUGGGCUCGCGUCCGAUUAGAUAGUUGGCGGGAUAACAGCCCACCAAGUCGACGAUCGGUAGCCGGACUGAGAGGUUGAACGGCCACAUUGGGACUGAGACACGGCCCAGACUCCUACGGGAGGCAGCAGUGGGGGAUAUUGCACAAUGGGGGAAACCCUGAUGCAGCGACGCCUCGUGAGGGAUGACGGUCUUCGGAUUGUAAACCUUUGUCAUCAGGGACGAAGAAAGUGACGGUACCUGAGGAGGAAGCGACGGCUAACUACGUGCCAGCAGCCGCGGUAAUACGUAGGUCGCAAGCGUUGUCCGGAAUUACUGGGUGUAAAGGGAGCGUAGGCGGGAGUGCAAGUUGAAUGUCUAAACUAUGGGCUUAACCCAUAAGCGCGUUCAAAACUGCAUUUCUUGAGUGGAGUAGAGGCAGGCGGAAUUCCUAGUGUAGCGGUGAAA
Molecule: ribosomal RNA, 634 nt
Filed under: uncultured bacterium
Lineage: Bacteria
Description: bacterial SSU rRNA
Rfam family: Bacterial small subunit ribosomal RNA
Source: RNAcentral